ACGGUCCUAAGGUAGCGAAAUUCCUUGUCGGGUAAGUUCCGACCUGCACGAAUGGCGUAACGAUCUCCACACUGUCUCGGCCAGAGACUCGGUGAAAUUGAAGUCGCGGUGAAAAUGCCGUGUACCCGCAGAAAGACGGAAAGACCCUGUGCACCUUUACUAUAGCUUGACAUUGGGAUUUGAGCCUGCAUGUGUAGCAUAGGUGGGAGGCUGUGAACUCUGUACGCCAGUAUGGAGGGAGCCAUCGUUGAAAUACCACCCUUGUUUGUUCAGGUCCCUAACUCUUCGCCGUAAUCCGGUAAGAGGACAGUGUCUGGUGGGUAGUUUGACUGGGGCGGUCGCCUCCCAAAAUGUAACGGAGGCAUGCAAAGGUUCCCUCAGGCUGAUUGGAAACCAGCCGUCGAGUGCAAACGCAAAAGGGAGCUUGACUGCAAGAGAGACAUCUCGAGCAGGUACGAAAGUAGGUGUUAGUGAUCCGGUGAUCCCGAAUGGAAGGGUCAUCGCUCAUUGGAUAAAAGGUACGCCGGGGAUAACAGGCUGAUCGCAUCCAAGAGUUCACAUCGACGAUGCGGUUUGGCACCUCGAUGUCGGCUCAUCACAUCCUGGGGCUGAAGCAGGUCCCAAGGGUACGGCUGUUCGCCGUUUAAAGUGGUACGCGAGCUGGGUUUAAAACGUCGUGAGACAGUUUGGUCCCUAUCUUCUGUGGGCGUAGGAGAAUUGAAAGGGCCUGUCCCUAGUACGAGAGGACCGGGAUGGACACACCACUGGUGGACCUGUUGUCGUGCCAACGGCACAGCAGGGUAGCUAUGUGUGGAAGGGAUAACCGCUGAAAGCAUCUAAGCGGGAAGCCUGCCUUAAGAUAAGUUCUCCCUGACGCAAGUCCUGAAGGGCCGAGGUAGACGACCUCGUUGAUAGGCUGGAGGUGGAAGCCCUGUGAGGGGUGGAGCUGACCAGUACUAAUAGCCCGUGCGUCUUGUUUCU
This 981-nucleotide ribosomal RNA is filed under the name metagenome. RNAcentral's name for it is "bacterial LSU rRNA". It matches the Rfam family "Bacterial large subunit ribosomal RNA", at positions 1945 to 2925 of the family's 2925-position model. The record is from RNAcentral. RNAcentral also lists the same sequence under 1 other name.